UACAGAGGUCUCAAGCGUUUGUUCGGAUUCAUUGGGCGUAAAGGGUGCGUAGGUGGCGUCGUAAGUCAGGUGUGAAAUCUCGGGGCUCAACCCCGAAACUGCACUUGAUACUGCGAUGCUUGAGUAUUGGAGAGGAGAUUGGAAUUUACGGUGUAGCAGUGAAAUGCGUAGAUAUCAUGAGGAAUACCAGAGGCGAAGGCGGCUCCCUGGACAAUAGCUGACACUC
This 226-nucleotide ribosomal RNA is filed under the name uncultured bacterium. RNAcentral describes it as "partial 16S ribosomal RNA". It matches the Rfam family "Bacterial small subunit ribosomal RNA", at positions 524 to 748 of the family's 1533-position model. The record is from RNAcentral.